RNAcentral lists this ribosomal RNA (24 nucleotides) under Laimosemion lyricauda. RNAcentral describes it as "partial 16S ribosomal RNA". The record is from RNAcentral. Lineage: Eukaryota; Metazoa; Chordata; Actinopteri; Cyprinodontiformes; Rivulidae.
CACCUACUAGCUAGCUUAAACAAC